Molecule: ribosomal RNA, 378 nt
Filed under: Triticum aestivum (bread wheat)
Lineage: Eukaryota; Viridiplantae; Streptophyta; Magnoliopsida; Poales; Poaceae
Description: partial small subunit ribosomal RNA
Source: RNAcentral
AUGGAAGUGGACCACCGAGACCACACGCUCCAGCCCGACGAGCUGGACGAGCUCGAUGGCCAGGUCCUCCGCCCCGACCACCAUGAUUCCGCAGAGAACAAUAAGCCUGAACAGACUCUAACAUUGGUUUUCGUGGAGACAAAACAAGAAGCUGAUUCAUUGAGAUAUUGGCUAUACAACAGAGGUUUCACUGGAAUGGCGAUCCAUGGUGACGAAACACGUAAAUACAUAUUCCGAACUCUUCUGUCAUCGCCUAACUCUAGUGUACGGACACGCGCAUCCCUCUGGCUGCCGCUGGCCAGCAGCCAGCAUAGAGGAGCACGGCAAGAAUGGUGGUCGUGCAUCUACUUCGAGCUCCACAAAUCUCCAGCCACCUAG